AUCUGUUUUAAAUUUUUUUUUUGGUCUCACGUAUUGAUUAGUUUUCUCUCUCCGGCACCAAUUUCAGCUGCCCUCUCUUCCUUCACAUCUCCUAUUUCUCUCCCUCUAGCAGCUCAAUAAUUUGAGUGAGAAGAGAAAACGGAAGUUAUAGAGAGUUCAAGUCAGACCAGGCUACCCAAAUCGUGCUGCACGAUUGUAUUCAAUGGAUAGUCAUGGUUUGCCAACUCUCUCCUCAAAACCCAAGAUAAAUAGUAGAAAGAAGAGGAAAAGUGACGGGGAGCAUGCUAAGGCUUUUAAGAAAAUGAAAGGGCUGAAGCAAGACUCGAAGAAUCUUGAUAAAGUAACCGCACAGCUGAGCAACAUAGUGGAAAACCAAGAAAAUCUCAUGGAUAACUUAUUGCAUCAGCUGAUGGUUCAUCUCUCUCCCCUAGUUCGAUCGUUUUACCCUUUCCCUUAAACUUGGAUCUGAUGAACUCGAGCUGGAAUCUGCUAUCUCAUGUCCAGGAGGUUCCAAUUGGGAUGUCUAUAUGUCGGAAACAAAAGAACCUGUAGACAUCAUCUCUCUUUUGAAAUAUCGCAGCAAGAUGGUUGACAGACGAAUUCAAAUUUUGUACGAGAUGAUGUUCAAAUGAUAAUUUUCAUGUCAGUAGACGGUUGUACUGUUCUAUUCUAAAACUCCCUAACUUUUGGACUUCAUACUCCUAGUUUUUUGAAUAGCUGUCCUAUGAGUUUCACUGUUCGUCUACAUAUAUUUAACAAUCUCUCAAUAAUUCAGGAAUUGAUCAGGCAUA
This is an RNA transcript of Populus euphratica (Euphrates poplar), 791 nucleotides long. RefSeq lists it as uncharacterized. The transcript has 5 exons. NCBI's taxonomy places the organism in Eukaryota, Viridiplantae, Streptophyta, Magnoliopsida, Malpighiales, Salicaceae. The record is from RefSeq and is a predicted model, not a curated record.